AGGAUGAACGCUAGCGGCGCGCUUAAUGCAUGCAAGUCGAGCGAUGAGACUCCUACGGGAGCACAUCAGCGGCAGACGGGUGAGUAGCACGUAGAUGACGUACCCUCAAGACGGGGAUAACGGAUGGAAACAUGCGCUAAUACCGGAUGACCUUACGAUGUCAGAAUGGUAAGGAAAGCUACGGCGCUUGAGGAGCGGUCUGCGGCCCAUCAGCUAGUUGGUAGGGUAAAGGCCUACCAAGGCGAAGACGGGUAGGGGGUGUGAGAGCACGGNCCCCCACAAUGGGACUGAGACACGGCCCAUACUCCUACGGGAGGCAGCAGCAGGGAAUAUUGCACAAUGGACGGAAGUCUGAUGCAGCGACGCCGCGUGAGUGAAGAAGGCCUUCGGGUUGUAAAACUCUUUUGAGGGGGAAGAGCGAGGACGGUACCCCUGGAAUAAGCGUCGGCUAACUACGUGCCAGCAGCCGCGGUAAGACGUAGGACGCGAGCGUUAUCCGGAUUUACUGGGCGUAAAGCGUCUGUAGGCGGAUGUGUAAGUUGGGCGUGAAAGCUCCGGGCUUAACCCGGAGAGGCCGUUCAAUACUGCAUAACUUGAGGGUGUCAGAGGGGAGCGGAAUUCCCGGUGUAGCGGUAAAAUGCGCAGAGAUCGGGAGGAACACCAGUGGCGGAGGCGGUUCCCUGGGGCACACCUGACGCUGAGAGACGAAAGCUAGGGGAGCGAACAGGAUUAGAGACCCUGGUAGUCCUAGCCCUAAACGAUGAAUGCUAGGUGUGGGAUCGAAUGGUUCCGUGCCGGAGCGAACGCGAUAAGCAUUCCGCCUGGGGAGUACGGCCGCAAGGUUACUACUCAGACGAAUUGACGGGGCCCCGCACAAGCAGCGGAGCGUGUGGAUUAAUUCGAUGCUACACGAAGAACCUUACCUGGGUCAGACAUGUAGGUGGUAGUGAAUCGAGAGUCGAACGACCCUUCGGGGAGCCUACACAGGUGCUGCAUGGCUGUCGUCAGCUCGCGCCGUGAGGUGUCGGGUUAACUCCCGUGACGAGCGCAACCCUUGCUCCUAGUAACAAGUGUCUAGGGGGACCGCCGGCGGAAAGCCGGAGGAAGGUGGGGA
Molecule: ribosomal RNA, 1114 nt
Filed under: uncultured organism
Description: bacterial SSU rRNA
Rfam family: Bacterial small subunit ribosomal RNA
Source: RNAcentral